Molecule: long non-coding RNA, 548 nt
Filed under: Betta splendens (Siamese fighting fish)
Lineage: Eukaryota; Metazoa; Chordata; Actinopteri; Anabantiformes; Osphronemidae
Description: lncRNA (ENSBSLG00000016054.1)
Source: RNAcentral
CUGGGCUCCAGCCUCAGUUUGCAUGUAGGUUACACUUUACCAAAAGUGCUGCAUACAAAUAGCAACCUUUAUAAAUGUUGCCAUUUGUAUGUUUGCAUGUCUUAAAUUUAAAAAAAUUACAUUAUCAAACAAGCUGUUAACGAUGUUUGCUAGUUACCUUUUCAAUGGUAACUGUGGUGGGAAUAGAAGGAACACAACCAAAAAAACCAAGAUGGCUGACGUGGUAGCAUGAAGGGCCUGGUGUGAAGACAGCCGGUUCAGCCCGGUUCUGCACAGAUGAGACGGAAGCCUCGUCAUGGAGUUUGGAGGAUGAGGAAGGGAUUGGCCGGGGUGCUCACGCUAACCUCCAAGGCUCAUGUUACCGUCAGUCAUCUUUCCAGGUGUUUCAGGGGUCCGUGGACAUGAACGCCUGUCACACCGGAGUCCCGGUGACGGGUCGGGGCAGCCGUCGGUUGAGUUACGCUGUCUGUCGACCCGCCCCGCGUUGGGGUCCGUACGACUGGACGGCCUCCCCACUUCAUCACAUUGGAUUAAGUCGAGCGUCUCGA